RNAcentral lists this ribosomal RNA (513 nucleotides) under uncultured bacterium. Its description in RNAcentral is "partial 16S ribosomal RNA". It matches the Rfam family "Bacterial small subunit ribosomal RNA", at positions 28 to 507 of the family's 1533-position model. The record is from RNAcentral.
GACGAACGCUGGCGGCGUGCUUAACACAUGCAAGUCGAACGAAAAGAGGGAAAGAGCUUGCUCUUUCCGGAAUUGAGUGGCAAACGGGUGAGUAACACGUAAACAACCUGCCUUCAGGAUGGGGACAACAGACGGAAACGACUGCUAAUACCGAAUAAGUUCCAAGAGCCGCAUGGCCCAUGGAAGAAAAGGUGGCCUCUACCUGUAAGCUAUCGCCUGAAGAGGGGUUUGCGUCUGAUUAGCUGGUUGGAGGGGUAACGGCCCACCAAGGCGACGAUCAGUAGCCGGUCUGAGAGGAUGAACGGCCACACUGGAACUGAGACACGGUCCAGACGCCUACGGGAGGCAGCAGUGGGGAAUCUUCCGCAAUGGGCGAAAGCCUGACGGAGCAACGCCGCGUGAGUGAUGACGGCCUUCGGGUUGUAAAACUCUGUGAUCCGGGACGAAAAGGCAGAGUGCGAAGAACAAACUGCAUUGACGGUACCGGAAAAGCAAGCCACGGCUAACUACGUG